AUUGAACGCUGGCGGCAUGCCUUACACAUGCAAGUCGAACGGUAACAGGGUAAGCUGACGCGUGGCGGACGGGUGAGUAAUGUAACGGAACGUGCCCAGCCGUGUGGGAUAACUUCCCGAAAGAUCAGCUAAUACCGCAUACGCCCUGCGGGGAAAAACGGGGGAUCGAAAGACCUCGCGCGAUUGGAGCGGCCGAUAUCUGAAUAGGUAGUUGGGGAGGUAAAGGCUCACCAAGCCGACGAUCUGUAGCUGGUCUGAGAGGACGACCAGCCACACUGGGACUGAGACACGGCCCAGACUCCUACGGGAGGCAGCAGUGGGGAAUUUUGGACGAUGGGGGCAAGCCUGAUCCAGCCAUGCCGCGUGAGGGAAGAAGGCGUUCGGGUUGUAAACCGCUUUUGUCAGGGAAGAAAAGGUUCUGGCUAAUACCUGAGACUCAUGACGGUACCUGAAGAAUAAGCACCGGCUAACUACGUG
RNAcentral lists this ribosomal RNA (477 nucleotides) under uncultured bacterium. RNAcentral's name for it is "partial 16S ribosomal RNA". It matches the Rfam family "Bacterial small subunit ribosomal RNA", at positions 30 to 507 of the family's 1533-position model. The record is from RNAcentral.